UUGGGGAGGGUUAGGGCUCGACCCCGGAGAAGGAGCCUGAGAAACGGCUACUACAUCCAAGGAAGGCAGCGGGCGCGCAAAUUACCCAAUCCCGACACGGGGAGGUAGUGACAAUAAAUACUGAUACAGGGCUCUUUUGGGUCUUGUAAUCGGAAUGAGUACAAUUUAAAUCCCUUAACGAGGAACAAUUGGAGGGCAAGUCUGGUGCCAGCAGCCGCGGUAAUUCCAGCUCCAAUAGCGUAUAUUAAAGUUGUUGUGGUUGAAAAGCUCGUAGUUGAACCUUGGGCCUGGCUGGCCGGUCCGCCUCACCGCGUGCACUGGUCCGGCCGGGCCUUUCCCUCUGCGGAACCCCAAGCCCUUCACUGGGUGUGGCGGGGAAACAGGACUUUUACUUUGAAAAAAUUAGAGUGCUCAAGGCAGGCCUAUGCUCGAAUACAUUAGCAUGGAAUAAUAGAAUAGGACGUGUGGUUCUAUUUUGUUGGUUUCUAGGACCGCCGUAAUGAUUAAUAGGGACAGUCGGGGGCAUCAGUAUUCAAUUGUCAGAGGUGAAAUUCUUGGAUUUAUUGAAGACUAACUACUGCGAAAGCAUUUGCCAAGGAUGUUUUCAUUAAUCAGGAACGAAAGUUAGGGGAUCGAAGACGAUCAGAUACCGUCGUAGUCUUAACCAUAAACUAUGCAGACUAGGGAUCGGACGAUGUUACAUUUUUGACGCGUUCGGCACCUUACGAGAAAUCAAAGUGCUUGGGCUCCAGGGGGAGUAUGGUCGCAAGGCUGAAACUUAAAGAAAUUGACGGAAGGGCACCACCAGGGGUGGAGCCUGCGGCUUAAUUUGACACAACACGGGGAAACUCACCAGGUCCAGACACAAUGAGGAUUGACAGAUUGAGAGCUCUUUCUUGAUUUUGUGGGUGGUGGUGCAUGGCCGUUCUUAGUUGGUGGAGUGAUUUGUCUGCUUAAUUGCGAUAACGAACGAGACCUUAACCUGCUAAAUAGCCCGUAUUGCUUUGGCAGUACGCCGGCUUCUUAGAGGGACCAUCGGCUCAAGCCGAUGGAAGUUUGAGGCAAUAACAGGUCUGUGAUGCCCUUAGAUGUUCUGGGCCGCACGCGCGCUACACUGACGGAGCCAGCGAGUACUCCCUUGGCCGGAAGGCCUGGGUAAUCUUGUUAAACUCCGUCGUGCUGGGGAUAGAACAUUGCAAUUAUUGCUCUUCAACGAGGAAUCCCUAGUAAGCGCAAGUCAUCAGCUUGCGUUGAUUACGUCCCUGCCCUUUGUACACACCGCCCGUCGCUACUACCGAUUGAAUGGCUCAGUGAGGCGUCCGGACUGGCCCAGAGAGGUGGGCAACUACCACUCAGGGCCGGAAAGCUCUCCAAACUCGGUCAUUUAGAGGAAGUAAAAGUCGUUACAAGGUC
RNAcentral lists this ribosomal RNA (1413 nucleotides) under metagenome. Its description in RNAcentral is "SSU rRNA". It matches the Rfam family "Eukaryotic small subunit ribosomal RNA", at positions 360 to 1801 of the family's 1831-position model. The record is from RNAcentral.